AAGUCGUAACAAGGUUUCCGUAGGUGAACCUGCGGAAGGAUCAUUACAAAAUGCUGUGAAGUUGUAUUGUAUUGUUUGAAAGAAUAGUAUGAUGCGUUCACUUUGGCCCACUCCUGAAAGGGAGAUGGUAGCAUGCUUCGGCGUGCGAAAAUAAACAUUAAAUCAUGACUUAUAACCAAAAAAGAAAAUAACCAAAACUUUUAACAAUGGAUCUCUUGGCUCUUGCAACGAUGAAGAACGCAGUGAAAUGCGAAACGUAAUGCGAUUUGCAGCAUCUGUGAGUCAUCGAGUCUUUGAACGCACUUGGCACCUGGAGAUGAUCCAGGUAUACCUGUUUGAGCAGAAUAUUUAUAUAUAUGUGAGUCUCAUUUAUUUGAAUGUGACUUGAAAAGGGUUUGAAUGUGACGUGCAAGCACUCGUGUUCUGUGUGAUGGCAAGGCCGUGGUCUUGAUUCACAGGAAGCGCAGUGUGGCUGUGCGGUCAAUCGCAUUUAUUAAAACAAAACUUUUGUACAUUUUCUCUCAAAUCAGGCAAGAUUACCCGCUGAACUUAAGCAUAUCAGUAAGCGGAGGAAAAGAAACUAACAAGGAUUCCCUCAGUAACGGCGAGUGAAGCGGGAAGAGCUCAAAUUUGGAAUCACUGCGCUUUGUGCAGUGAAUUGUAAUUUCAAGACAUGUGAGAAGAGUAUUUGUGUGAGUUCAAGUCUCCUGGAAUGGAGCACCACAGAGGGUGACAGUCCCGUCUGGAUACGCACGGAAUAUUUAACUCUCUAGUGUCGACGAGUCGAGUUGCUUGGGAAUGCAGCUCAAAAGGGUGGUAAAUUCCAUCCAAGGCUAAAUAUUGGCAAGAGACCGAUAGCGAACAAGUACCGUGAGGGAAAGAUGAAAAGCACCUUGAAAAGGGAGUUAAAUAGCACGUGAAAUUGUUAAAAGGGAAACGAUCGCGGCUGAGAAGGGGGCGUUCUGAAGGCAGUCUUCUGAGGGAGAUUGUUGUAUGGAGCGUUCCAGGUGUGCUUUGGUGCGAGUUUCCGAAUAAGACUGGAGUGAGGGCAUGUGAUCAUUUUUGAUUACAUUGUCUCCUUUGGGAGAGCGGAAAGUUGUACUGGAGUGCAUGAUUUGGCCUUGAACGAC
This 1130-nucleotide ribosomal RNA is filed under the name uncultured fungus. RNAcentral describes it as "eukaryotic LSU rRNA". The stretch from base 517 to 1130 matches the Rfam family "Eukaryotic large subunit ribosomal RNA", at positions 1 to 648 of the family's 3401-position model. The record is from RNAcentral. Lineage: Eukaryota; Fungi.